Molecule: ribosomal RNA, 268 nt
Filed under: Salmonella enterica
Lineage: Bacteria; Pseudomonadati; Pseudomonadota; Gammaproteobacteria; Enterobacterales; Enterobacteriaceae
Also listed under: 3 other names
Description: partial 23S ribosomal RNA
Rfam family: Bacterial large subunit ribosomal RNA
Source: RNAcentral
GGCGAGGGGAGUGAAAAAGAACCUGAAACCGUGUACGUACAAGCAGUGGGAGCACAGGUUUACCUGUGUGACUGCGUACCUUUUGUAUAAUGGGUCAGCGACUUAUAUUCUGUAGCAAGGUUAACCGAAUAGGGGAGCCGGAGGGAAACCGAGUCUUAAUUGGGCGUUAAGUUGCAGGGUAUAGACCCGAAACCCGGUGAUCUAGCCAUGGGCAGGUUGAAGGUUGGGUAACACUAACUGGAGGACCGAACCGACUAAUGUUGAAAAA